UACGUAGGUGGCAAGCGUUGUCCGGAUUUACUGGGCGUAAAGGGCGCGUAGGCGGCUCAUGAAGGCUGUGGUGAAAGUCCGGGGCUCAACCUCGGAUCGGCCGUGGCGACUCGUGGGCUGGAGCACUGUAGAGGCGGGUGGAAUUCCGGGUGUAGCGGUGGAAUGCGUAGAGAUCCGGAAGAACACCAGUGGCGAAGGCGGCCCGCUGGGCAGUGGCUGACGCUGAGGCGCGACAGCGUGGGGAGCAAACAGG
RNAcentral lists this ribosomal RNA (253 nucleotides) under uncultured bacterium. RNAcentral describes it as "partial 16S ribosomal RNA". It matches the Rfam family "Bacterial small subunit ribosomal RNA", at positions 524 to 776 of the family's 1533-position model. The record is from RNAcentral.